UGUUAGGGCCUUGCAUCUAGUCGAGCAUGCUAAAUGUUAUGUGCUAUGUGUUUAUGAGUGUUUGGCAUGUCUACUCGCUUUCCAUAGCCAUGAAUGAAUGUGAUGGAUGAAUGUACGUUUCCGCUAGUCCAACGCUAGUCGGAAUUCAUAGAAUGGGCUAGUCCAACGCUAGACCCUUAGGGAUUUCCCCUCGUUAGUACAUGUUUGCAUGUUCAUUACAUGUCAUGCAUUUUUUUUAGUUUUAUCAUUUUGCAUGCCCCUCGAACCCCUUUUCCCUCCAUUUUAGGAUUUUUGCAUUUCAUGCUA
Molecule: long non-coding RNA, 306 nt
Filed under: Coffea arabica (coffee)
Lineage: Eukaryota; Viridiplantae; Streptophyta; Magnoliopsida; Gentianales; Rubiaceae
Description: long non-coding RNA (CARA_LNC002275)
Source: RNAcentral